Molecule: long non-coding RNA, 954 nt
Filed under: Medicago truncatula (barrel medic)
Lineage: Eukaryota; Viridiplantae; Streptophyta; Magnoliopsida; Fabales; Fabaceae
Description: long non-coding RNA (MTRU_LNC001936)
Source: RNAcentral
GAGGGUGGAGGAGGUGACUCAUAAACAUAAGGUGGUGGUGGAGGGGAUUUGUAGACAUAUUGUGGAGGAGGAGGUGAUUCGUAAACAUAUGGAGGAGGUGGCGGUGACUUGUAGACAUAUGGUGGUGGAGGUGGCGACUUGUAUACAUAUGGUGGGGUGGUGAUGGAGAUGGUGGAGGAGGAGACUUGUAGACAUAUGGAGGUGGGGUGUACACAUAUGGUGGGGGAGGUGGCGACUUGUAGAUAUAUGGAGGAGGUGGUGAUGGUGGAGGAGGAGAUGGGUAAACAUAAGGUGGAGGAGGUGGUGACUUAUACACAUAUGGAGGAGGUGGGGGUGAUUUGUAGAUAUAUGGAGGAGGAGGCGAUGGUGGAGGAGGAGAUGGGUAAACAUAAGGUGGAGGAGGUGGUGAUUUGUAUACGUAUGGAGGAGGUGGUGAUGGUGGAGGAGGAGACGGGUAAACGUAAGGUGGAGGAGGUGGUGACUUGUACACAUAUGGAGGAGGUGGGGGUGACUUGUACACAUAUGGAGGAGGUGGUGAUGGUGGAGGAGGAGACGGGUAAACAUAAGGUGGAGGAGGUGGUGACUUGUACACGUAUGGAGGAGGUGGGGGUGACUUGUACACAUAUGGAGGAGGUGGCGGUGACUUGUAUACAUACGGAGGAGGUGGUGAUGGUGGAGGAGGAGACGGGUAAACGUAAGGUGGAGGAGGUGGUGACUUGUACACGUAUGGAGGAGGUGGGGGUGACUUGUAUACAUAUGGAGGUGGCGGUGAUGGUGGAGGAGGAGACGGGUAAACAUAAGGUGGAGGAGGUGGUGACUUGUACACAUAUGGAGGAGGUGGUGGUGAUUUAUAGACAUAAGGAGGUGGUGGUGAUGGAGAUGGUGGUGGUGGAGAUUUGUAGUAAUAUGGUGGUAAUUUGUAAUCAUAAGGAGGUGGCGGUGACGGGGGUGGAG